CUACCUACGGGGCGCAGCAGUGAGGAAUAUUGGUCAAUGGGCGGAAGCCUGAACCAGCCAAGUCGCGUGAGGGAAUAAGGCCCUACGGGUCGUAAACCUCUUUUGCCGGGGAGCAAGGGCGGGGACGUGUCCCGGCCCGGAGAGUACCCGGAGAAAAAGCAUCGGCUAACUCCGUGCCAGCAGCCGCGGUAAUACGGAGGAUGCGAGCGUUAUCCGGAUUUACUGGGUGUAAAGGGAGCGUAGGCGGCGAUGCAAGUCAGAAGUGAAAGCCCGGGGCUCAACUCCGGGACUGCUUUUGAAACUGU
This 305-nucleotide ribosomal RNA is filed under the name uncultured bacterium. RNAcentral's name for it is "bacterial SSU rRNA". It matches the Rfam family "Bacterial small subunit ribosomal RNA", at positions 335 to 636 of the family's 1533-position model. The record is from RNAcentral.